AUACGGAAGAUGCGAGCGUUAUCCGGAUUUAUUGGGUUUAAAGGGUGCGUAGGCUGUGCGUUAAGUCAGGGGUGAAAUGCCGUCGCUCAACGACGGAGCUGCCCUUGAUACUGGCGUGCUGGAGUACGGAUGCCGUUGGAGGAAUGAGUGGUGUAGCGGUGAAAUGCUUAGAUAUCACUCAGAACACCGAUUGCGAAGGCAUCUGACGAAUCCGUCACUGACGCUGAGGCACGAAAGCGUGGGGAUAGAACAGGAUUAGAUACCCUGGUAUUCCACGCCGUAAACGAUGAUGACUAACCGUCGGCGAUAGACAGCCGGUGGCCAAGCGAAAGCGAUAAGUCAUCCACCUGGGGAGUACGUCGGCAACGAUGAAACUCAAAGGAAUUGACGGGG
RNAcentral lists this ribosomal RNA (393 nucleotides) under uncultured bacterium. Its description in RNAcentral is "partial 16S ribosomal RNA". It matches the Rfam family "Bacterial small subunit ribosomal RNA", at positions 523 to 918 of the family's 1533-position model. The record is from RNAcentral.